Molecule: long non-coding RNA, 699 nt
Organism: Eupeodes corollae
Lineage: Eukaryota; Metazoa; Arthropoda; Insecta; Diptera; Syrphidae
Exons: 4
Source: RefSeq, a predicted model, not a curated record
AACUACUACUGAUGAUGUCGGCGAGUUGAAUCCAUCGAUUUUCACACAUAAAAUCAACAUCAAAAAAUCACGUCAAUUCAGCAGCGUCAUGGUCAACCUGCCGAUCAACCAUUCACAGUGAACAACCUCUAUUCGUAGCGGAAGCGAUCUCUGCGUUGUCGACAAUGCGAACACAAUGUCAUCAAGCCGGAGUACCAACCGGGGCUCUUACAUUGCAACAGUGCGCGGACAUCAGUGUAAAUGCGAGGCAGCGGCUACUGCUGUCGACGAAGCUGACACCGCCUACAUAGAAGAGGUGAUACGAAUGCCGCUUUAUAAGGAACUUGUUGCGACAAUAUAGUACCUCCUAAAUGAUGGGAGUCGGAAAUCAUUGUUUUGUAUGUACUAUUUUAGAAUUCCCUGAGUCAACUUUGAUUCGAGAUUUCCUUGUAUAAUGAAAAUGAAUUUCUUUAUAUAGAAGGCUUAUGAUGGCAAGACAACUACAAACAACAAAUCGAAGCGGUAUUGCAACAAAUCCUGAAGUGAAGAUGAUUAUAGUCGACGACAUGCUUUCAAUCUCAUCCUUAAUAAUCAAGGUUCGCGGCGCAGCUAGUUUUUAAAUACAUUUGUAAUUAUUUUUCAAAAUUGUAUGUAAUUUAGUAUAAUUUAAUUUUGUUUUAAAUUCAACGCUUAUAAUGUAUUUUCACUUAAAAAACAAUA